AUUGCUUCUCGGCCUUUUGGCUAAGAUCAAGUGUAGAAUUGAGCACAUGGCAAGAGCUAAAUAAAUUGUAGAUUUUCUUAUUACUUCUACAACUAUUAGGUUGGUGCAAAGGUAAUUGUGGUUUUUUUGCAAUUAUUUUUAACCUUUGAAACCGCAAUUACUUUUGCACCAACCUAAUACCAUGCAUUAAAGUGCUGAGGGUGGCUAUUG
Molecule: small nuclear RNA, 210 nt
Filed under: Rhinolophus ferrumequinum (greater horseshoe bat)
Lineage: Eukaryota; Metazoa; Chordata; Mammalia; Chiroptera; Rhinolophidae
Description: U2 spliceosomal RNA (ENSRFEG00010007648.1)
Rfam family: U2 spliceosomal RNA (bases 1-178)
About the family: U2 is a small nuclear RNA (snRNA) component of the spliceosome (involved in pre-mRNA splicing). Complementary binding between U2 snRNA (in an area lying towards the 5' end but 3' to hairpin I) and the branchpoint sequence (BPS) of the intron results the bulging out of an unpaired adenosine, on the BPS, which initiates a nucleophilic attack at the intronic 5' splice site, thus starting the first of two transesterification reactions that mediate splicing.
Source: Rfam by way of RNAcentral